UCAUCAGCGACAACCCUCGUGGCCUCGGAAUUGGUAGGAGAAUUUUCAGAACUGUCGUAGUUGUCCAUGAACCGGGCCGCGACAUCGGAGUCUUUUCCGGUGAGUUCUUGCACCAAAGCUCGAAAUUGAGAGGCACAUGUCUCAACCUUCAUAGGAGUUGAAAUGUAAACAACUUUAAUAUCUUUCUUACUAUUGCUUUUUUUUGCAUUCUUCUUGUUGAUUUUCAUUUGGCGAACGCCCAAUACAUCCAUUGAAGAAAUCAAAACGACAAAAAGCAAAAAAGAAAAAAAAAAAAAGAUUAAGUGUUCCUUGUAAAGGUAUGAUGGAUGAGAAUGGGAAAUAAUUUAACAAUGUUUUGGGGUUUAUAUAAGUGUACGAAAGUUUGGUUUUUUUAGUAAGAAAGGUGAUUUCGUGGAAGGAGCAGAUAGAUAAAUAAAAAAAAAUUGGAAAGGUUUGUUUUUGACAAAGGAAAAGGAAAGUUGCGAGAAAGAUGGGUAUAGAAAAUAUUAAAGAAAAAAUAGAAGAUUCUUUAGAACAAAAGCGUAUAAUUUUAAAUAUAAUAGGAUAAAUAGCAUGAAAAAAUAUAUAAAAAAUAUAAUUUAAAUAUACUAAAAAUAAAAAAAAUCUCAUUAUUGUAAUAUUAAUAAAUUUUGAUUUGAUAAUUUUUAUAUUUUAUAUAUAUUUAAAAUAAAAUAAAUACAUCUACUUCAGAGAAUCUUAAAUGACCCGUGAACACUUAGGCAAAAACGUUAGCUAAGCUUUGAAAGAGACAUGCGUUUUGAUCAUUGAAAUUUGAAACUAGGAGAGGAAAUGGAUAAAAAACACGUGCGCAGACUCUUGUGACUAUGAAAACUUGGACUUUUGAUCGGAAAUUUAGGGGGAAAAAGUUUAUAAAUUGUCGUGUGGCUAAAAUUCAUUCAUCUGGAAAAUUAUGGUUUUUUAUUUUAAUUUUAUUGAGUAUUUUAUUUUAUUUUUUGAAUUUGAUAAUUUAAAAUAAAAAAAAUUAACACAAUUUAAAAUUAUAAUAAUAUUAAUUAAAAAUGAAUUUAUAAAAUAAAAAUUUUAUGUUUUAUAUUUUUAUAUCAAUAUAAAUUAUAAUACAUAAUUGUUAUAUAAAAUAAUUAUAUAAAUAUAUAAAUUUUAAUAUUUUAUGUGAUAAAAAUACAUGAAUAAUCUAUUUUAAUUUUUUUUUAUUUUUCUUUUAUCACUUUUUAAUGUGGCUGCGCUGUGUCACAUUACUUUGUCUUUGUGUCCUGCUUUUCCAAUUUUCUCGUUCCUUUUCUUAAAGCUGGAUAUGCUUCGAGAUUUUUGUAGAUCAUUAAUUAACGACAAGUUUUAAUCAUUAUCAAUUACAACAUUGAUAUUAUUAAGAUAAUGAUAUUUAUAAUUUUUAUUUUAGAUUAAGAUUUUUAUAAAAAAUUAAUACAUGUUAAUUACCAGAAUCCUUGACUAAUUGCUGCAAUUCCAUAUAGAGAAGAAAAUUAAUACUGAUUUGUUCUUUUCUUCAAGGAAAAUGAUGAUCUAAAGGCAUUUUGACAGCAAUAUACAUAGGUUUUUCACUUAUGAAAUUAAUCUCUUUUUUUUUAAUCUCUGGCCUUUUUGAUUCGUUUGUUUAUGUAUAUUUCACAUUAAAAGUACAUAUUGAAUUAUUUUUUUGCAUUUAUUAAUGAGCAAUCAUGUGCAUUCAAUUGAUUUAUAA
This 1699-nucleotide long non-coding RNA is filed under the name Durio zibethinus. RNAcentral's name for it is "long non-coding RNA (DZIB_LNC002444)". The record is from RNAcentral. Lineage: Eukaryota; Viridiplantae; Streptophyta; Magnoliopsida; Malvales; Malvaceae.